UACGGAGGAUGCAAGCGUUAUCCGGAAUGAUUGGGCGUAAAGCGUCCGCAGGUGGCUAUGUAAGUCUGCUGUUAAAGAGCAAGGCUCAACCUUGUAAAGGCAGUGGAAACUACAUGGCUAGAGUGCGUUCGGGGCAGAGGGAAUUCCUGGUGUAGCGGUGAAAUGCGUAGAGAUCAGGAAGAACACCGGUGGCGAAAGCGCUCUGCUAGGCCGCAACUGACACUGAGGGACGAAAGCUAGGGGAGCGAAUGGG
RNAcentral lists this ribosomal RNA (253 nucleotides) under uncultured bacterium. Its description in RNAcentral is "partial 16S ribosomal RNA". It matches the Rfam family "Bacterial small subunit ribosomal RNA", at positions 524 to 776 of the family's 1533-position model. The record is from RNAcentral.